This 454-nucleotide ribosomal RNA is filed under the name uncultured bacterium. RNAcentral's name for it is "partial 16S ribosomal RNA". It matches the Rfam family "Bacterial small subunit ribosomal RNA", at positions 28 to 507 of the family's 1533-position model. The record is from RNAcentral.
GAUGAACGCUGACAGAAUGCUUAACACAUGCAAGUCCACUUGAACUUCGGUUUGGGUGGCGGACGGGCGAGUAACGCGUAAAGAACUUGCCUCACAGAUAGGGACAACAUUUGGAAACGAAUGCUAAUACCUGAUAUUAUGAUUAUAUGGCAUCGUAUAAUUAUGAAAGCUAUAUGCGCUGUGAGAGAGCUUUGCGUCCCAUUAGCUAGUUGGAGAGGUAACGGCUCACCAAGGCGAUGAUGGGUAGCCGGCCUGAGAGGGUGAUCGGCCACAAGGGGACGGAGACACGGCCAUUACUCCUACGGGAGGCAGCAGUGGGGAAUAUUGGACAAUGGACCAAGAGUCUGAUCCAGCAAUUCUGUGUGCACGAUGAAGUUUUUCGGAAUGUAAAGUGCUUUCAGUUGGGAAGAAAAAAAUGACGGUACCAACAGAAGAAGUGACGGCUAAAUACGUG